CAAGCAUGUAGCCUGGGAUGAUUCACCUGUAGGCAUUGAAAUCUACAUUUUGUCCACCAAAAUGGUUAUGAAUGCUGUAACAUGGCAAAUGAGUUGAAAUUACCCCAGACUGUGAUCAGCUAGAGCAUUUACUACUGAUAGGAUCAUCCUUCUAAUGGUUAAUAAGUUGUAGCUGAAGCUGAUAGAGCUACGCACAACUAUCGUUGUCUGGGAUCACUCUUCUGUAAUCUCUGCAGGUUCCUCUGCAAAAGGCUAAUCCUAAAUUUAAGCAGGUCAAAACAGAAAAGCCCAUCUGGACUUGGAAGAAAACGUUUUUGGUACGCAUGGUCAAGCUGCUUCUAUAUGAAAUCCUGGCUAGAUUCUGCAACUGAAGUGCUGCAUUAAUCUCCCCUUUUUUAGCAGUGAUAAUAACAUGCUAAUAAAAACAUGUGAUGAGAGACUUGUAUUAUUUAG
RNAcentral lists this long non-coding RNA (453 nucleotides) under Coturnix japonica (Japanese quail). RNAcentral describes it as "lncRNA (ENSCJPG00005001251.1)". The record is from RNAcentral. Lineage: Eukaryota; Metazoa; Chordata; Aves; Galliformes; Phasianidae.